GAUCAUGGCUCAGGAUUAACGCUGGCGGCGUGCCUAACACAUGCAAGUCGAACGGAAUAUCUUCGGAUAUUUAGUGGCGAACGGGUGAGUAAUGUACAGGUAAUGUACCUUCGUACUGCGAAUAACAAGCUGAAAAGUUUGCUAAUACGGAAUAGUUUCCUUCGAGGGCAUCCUUAAAGGAAUAAAGAUUUAUCGUGCGGAGAUCAGCCUGUAUCCUAUUAGUUAGUUGGUGGGGUAAUGGCCUACCAAGACGACGAUGGGUAACUGGUCUGAGAGGAUGAGCAGUCACAUUGGAACUGAGAAACGGUCCAAACUCCUACGGGAGGCAGCAGUGAGGAAUUUUGCGCAAUGGGGGAAACCCUGACGCAGCCAACGCCGCGUGAGUGAUGACGGCCUUCGGGUUGUAAAGCUCUGUCGUGUGUGACGAGUAGGGACGGUAACACACAAGGAAGCCUCGGCUAACUACGUGCCAGCAGCUGC
RNAcentral lists this ribosomal RNA (480 nucleotides) under uncultured bacterium. Its description in RNAcentral is "bacterial SSU rRNA". It matches the Rfam family "Bacterial small subunit ribosomal RNA", at positions 15 to 518 of the family's 1533-position model. The record is from RNAcentral.